RNAcentral lists this long non-coding RNA (2081 nucleotides) under Lotus japonicus. RNAcentral's name for it is "long non-coding RNA (LJAP_LNC001477)". The record is from RNAcentral. Lineage: Eukaryota; Viridiplantae; Streptophyta; Magnoliopsida; Fabales; Fabaceae.
AGAAAUUCUAAGCAAAGUUGACUUAAAGACUUCUCUUCUAAGCCUGAUCCAGAUCCACAGGAACUCGUUUCACAUUCUUUGUCAAUAUGAAGACAAUAGCACAAUUAUAGAUAUAAGGAAUUGUCAACAUAUUAAACAACAAUACAUCCAUUGAAUUGGCUUAGAUCUCCAAAUCGCAAUCUUGAUGGAUUAUUUUAUUAGUAGAGUAUGACCUACAUCACCAAAGUUCAUUUUCUAUAACCAAUAAAUAUGUGUGUAUGUCCAUGACCCUUGUUUUUUGACAUCGUUAUCUUAUCAAUUCCAUCAAUGUGAGUACAAAAACAACACACUCAUCAGCCUAUACAAUGAGUAGUAAAUGCUCUAUAAUUAAUGCUAUAUAAUUAAUAAGUAACCAAAAAUGAUUAAUUUUUAAGGUUAUGUGCUAACAGUCUAUUGGAGAUUAAACUCCACAUGUUACUGCACCUGACUUGAAGAAUCUCAAUCUUCCAAGAAAAUUCACAUACAAUCAUCAAUAGAGAUGUAUCUCAUUUGGUAGUACACAAAGCCUGCAUAUAACAAUAAAAUCCAUGAAAAUCCUUUCUUUAGAGAUCCUUUGUUUAAAUCUCAAGAUUUAUUCCCUUGAUGGGAGUCCUCAUUUGAAAUUCAAGUAAUAAAUAUUAGAAGUCGAGUAAAAAAAUAUAGAAUAUUAAGAAAAAAUUAGUAACAGUCUUUUUCAGCUUGUUUAGUACAGAAAAUUCAUUAGUUAACUUUUAAAACAUGAUUUCUUUACAACUUUGAUUUGUUUAGUCUAUUUCUGGUUAACAAUCUCAUUUAUUGCAGCGAAUGGUGCAAACGUUAUAGUGAAGGGUGUAAAACAAAAAAUCUAGGUUUAGUUUACCAUAACCUUUAUCACGACACAGUCAGAUGCUGCAAUACAAUAAAUUAUUGGACUAAUAUAAUAAUAAUGAGAAAGAAAUCUUGUGAGAACUCAAAUAAAAAAUGUAAGUCCAUUAGAAAGUCAUGAGAAGAGCUAAAAUUACCUCUUGAAGAGUAGUGCGGAUUCAGCAAGAGGAAGAAUGCAAGACAUUGCUAUCAUCAUUAUAAAAUCAAGGGGAAGAGCUCCCAUCUUUCUGAUGUUUGAAAUCAAAUUGAAUGAGUUUCCAAAGUGAGAGAGUCAAAGUCAGAAACUAAUGUAAUUAAAUUUAAAUUUAAAAUCAACAAUAUUUGAAAACAACAAUAACAUUAUAAUUGUCACAUGAUGAGGAGAGAAGAAAGUGAGAAUGUAUAAUACCAUUGCAGCUAUAGCCUUAUACAACCAGCUCUUUGGUAUGUUUCUCCUUAAGCUUAGCGGAAAGUUGAGAAACUUCUUCCUCCAUUUGCUUCUUCUUAGCUCGCUGCUCCCUCCUUCAUUUCAAAUUCCUUUUUCUGCCAUUCAAUUGUUGAUUUAUUAACAUCUACUAAUAGAUAUUAAACAAAAAGUAACCCAAAAAUCAAAACAUGAAUCUCACACUUCAACCCACAAAACAACAAAUUUUGUUUUAAAAAAAGAUGUAACUCAUCAACAGUAGGGAAUUAAAAAAGGUACCUGCAAAUGUUUGGUGUUCCAUAUGUUUCAGCAGGGAAAAUUUCAUAGAACACAAGUAAAAGAAAGCAAAAAAUCAAUAGCUGAUCAAGGAGAGAGCAAAUACAUAAGCCAGUUUCCAAUAUAUAUAUCAAAAGAAUAGCAAAGAAGCCCUUAAGCAAUUAUUCUUGCUUCUAAUAGAAACAUAAACUCAAAAAGCAUGUAACUUCAAUUUUUCGCACAAACUUAAUUUCAAUCCUAAUUGCAAAGCUAUUAAUCCAUAAACCUAUCUCUGCUUAUAUUAACCAAGAUAGUGUCAAUCACUCCAAGGAAAAAAGAGGUUGGUACAUGAUGAGCUUUAUAAAAAUGUUUCUUAUCAUCCAUAGGUUCUAAACUGUAUUGAUAUGCUUUUAGAAAAACCUAAAGAUAUUUCAUGGUAGAUAGACAAAAUCAUCUCUAAAAAGGCAUCUUUAAUGGGUUCCCACCCAUUUGAUUGUCUAUUUAUGUCUAUCAUAUCAUAUUAAUCUAUUGUGUCACAAAG